CGCGUAGGUGGCCAAUUAAGUCAAAUGUGAAAUCCCCGAGCUUAACUUGGGAAUUGCAUUCGAUACUGGUUGGCUAGAGUAUGGGAGAGUAUGGUAGAAUUCCAGGUGUAGCGGUGAAAUGCGUAGAGAUCUGGAGGAAUACCGAUGGCGAAGGCAGCCAUCUGGCCUAAUACUGACACUGAGGUGCGAAAGCAUGGGGCUCAAACAGGAUUAGAUACCCUCGUA
This 225-nucleotide ribosomal RNA is filed under the name uncultured Acinetobacter sp. RNAcentral describes it as "partial 16S ribosomal RNA". It matches the Rfam family "Bacterial small subunit ribosomal RNA", at positions 568 to 792 of the family's 1533-position model. Lineage: Bacteria; Pseudomonadati; Pseudomonadota; Gammaproteobacteria; Moraxellales; Moraxellaceae. The record is from RNAcentral.